This 460-nucleotide ribosomal RNA is filed under the name uncultured bacterium. Its description in RNAcentral is "partial 16S ribosomal RNA". It matches the Rfam family "Bacterial small subunit ribosomal RNA", at positions 338 to 795 of the family's 1533-position model. The record is from RNAcentral.
CCUACGGGAGGCAGCAGUGAGGAAUAUUGGUCAAUGGGCGGGAGCCUGAACCAGCCAAGCCGCGUGAAGGAAGAAUGCGCCAGGCGUUGUAAACUUCUUUUGUCGGGGAACAAAGUGCGCCACGCGUGGCGUUGUGAGUGUACCCGAAGAAAAAGCAUCGGCUAACUCCGUGCCAGCAGCCGCGGUAAUACGGAGGAUUCAAGCGUUAUCCGGAUUUAUUGGGUUUAAAGGGUGCGUAGGCGGUCGGAUAAGUUAGAGGUGAAAUCCCGCGGCUCAACGUCGGAAUUGCCUCUGAUACUGUUAGGAUAGAGAGUAGUUGAGGUAGGCGGAAUGUAUGGUGUAGCGGUGAAAUGCUUAGAGAGCAUACAGAACACCGAUUGCGAAGGCAGCUUACCAAGCUACUUCUGACGUUGAGGCACGAAAGCGUGGGGAGCAAACAGGAUUAGAUACCCUUGUAGUC